AAAUUGAAGAGUUUGAUCAUGGCUCAGAUUGAACGCUGGCGGCAGGCCUAACACAUGCAAGUCGAGCGGUAGCACAGAGAGCUUGCUCUCGGGUGACGAGCGGCGGACGGGUGAGUAAUGUCUGGGAAACUGCCUGAUGGAGGGGGGAUAACUACUGGAAACGGUAGCUAAUACCGCAUAAUGUCGCAAGACCAAAGUGGGGGACCUUCGGGCCUCAUGCCAUCAGAUGUGCCCAGAUGGGAUUAGCUAGUAGGUGGGGUAACGGCUCACCUAGGCGACGAUCCCUAGCUGGUCUGAGAGGAUGACCAGCCACACUGGAACUGAGACACGGUCCAGACUCCUACGGGAGGCAGCAGUGGGGAAUAUUGCACAAUGGGCGCAAGCCUGAUGCAGCCAUGCCGCGUGUGUGAAGAAGGCCUUCGGGUUGUAAAGCACUUUCAGCGGGGAGGGAAGGCGGUGAGGUUAAUAACCUCAUCGAUUGACGUUACCCGCAGAAGAAGCACCGGCUAACUCCGUGCCAGCAGCCGCGGUAAUACGGAGGGUGCAAGCGUUAAUCGGAAUUACUGGGCGUAAAGCGCACGCAGGCGGUCUGUCAAGUCGGAUGUGAAAUCCCCGGGCUCAACCUGGGAACUGCAUUCGAAACUGGCAGGCUAGAGUCUUGUAGAGGGGGGUAGAAUUCCGAGGUGUAGCGGUGAAAUGCGUAGAGAUCUGGAGGAAUACCGGUGGCGAAGGCGGCCCCCUGGACAAAGACUGACGCUCAGGUGCGAAAGCGUGGGGAGCAAACAGGAUUAGAUACCCUGGUAGUCCACGCCGUAAACGAUGUCGAUUUGGAGGUUGUGCCCUUGAGGCGUGGCUUCCGGAGCUAACGCGUUAAAUCGACCGCCUGGGGAGUACGGCCGCAAGGUUAAAACUCAAAUGAAUUGACGGGGGCCCGCACAAGCGGUGGAGCAUGUGGUUUAAUUCGAUGCAACGCGAAGAACCUUACCUGGUCUUGACAUCCACAGAACUUUCCAGAGAUGGAUUGGUGCCUUCGGGAACUGUGAGACAGGUGCUGCAUGGCUGUCGUCAGCUCGUGUUGUGAAAUGUUGGGUUAAGUCCCGCAACGAGCGCAACCCUUAUCCUUUGUUGCCAGCGGUCCGGCCGGGAACUCAAAGGAGACUGCCAGUGAUAAACUGGAGGAAGGUGGGGAUGACGUCAAGUCAUCAUGGCCCUUACGACCAGGGCUACACACGUGCUACAAUGGCAUAUACAAAGAGAAGCGACCUCGCGAGAGCAAGCGGACCUCAUAAAGUAUGUCGUAGUCCGGAUUGGAGUCUGCAACUCGACUCCAUGAAGUCGGAAUCGCUAGUAAUCGUAGAUCAGAAUGCUACGGUGAAUACGUUCCCGGGCCUUGUACACACCGCCCGUCACACCAUGGGAGUGGGUUGCAAAAGAAGUAGGUAGCUUAACCUUCGGGAGGGCGCUUACCACUUUGUGAUUCAUGACUGGGGUGAAGUCGUAACAAGGUAACCGUAGGGGGAACCUGCGGUUGGAUCACCUCCUUA
RNAcentral lists this ribosomal RNA (1544 nucleotides) under Klebsiella pneumoniae. RNAcentral's name for it is "bacterial SSU rRNA". It matches the Rfam family "Bacterial small subunit ribosomal RNA". Lineage: Bacteria; Pseudomonadati; Pseudomonadota; Gammaproteobacteria; Enterobacterales; Enterobacteriaceae. The record is from RNAcentral.